This 163-nucleotide non-coding RNA is filed under the name Stenotrophomonas maltophilia. RNAcentral describes it as "FMN sequence". It matches the Rfam family "FMN riboswitch aptamer (RFN element)". From Rfam's summary of the family: The RFN element is a highly conserved domain that is found frequently in the 5'-untranslated regions of prokaryotic mRNAs that encode for flavin mononucleotide (FMN) biosynthesis and transport proteins. This element is a metabolite-dependent riboswitch that directly binds FMN in the absence of proteins. In Bacillus subtilis, the riboswitch most likely controls gene expression by causing premature transcription termination within the 5' untranslated region of the ribDEAHT operon and precluding access to the ribosome-binding site of ypaA mRNA. The record is from RNAcentral. Lineage: Bacteria; Pseudomonadati; Pseudomonadota; Gammaproteobacteria; Lysobacterales; Lysobacteraceae.
AAACGUCUUCAGGGCGGGGUGCAAUUCCCCACCGGCGGUAGGGGUGCAAGCCCGAGCCCGCGAGCGCUUUGUCCAUCUGUCCUCCAGAUAGAUGCGUUGAAGGUCAGCAGAUCCGGUCAGAUGCCGGAGCCGACGGUCAUAGUCCGGAUGAAAGAAGACGGUG